Molecule: unclassified non-coding RNA, 329 nt
Filed under: soil metagenome
Description: partial contains 5.8S ribosomal RNA, internal transcribed spacer 2, and large subunit ribosomal RNA
Rfam family: 5.8S ribosomal RNA (bases 1-120)
Source: RNAcentral
GAUGAAGAACGUAGCGAAAUGCGAUAAGUAGUGUGAAUUGCAGAAUUCAGUGAAUCAUCGAAUCUUUGAACGCACAUUGCGCCCCUUGGUAUCCCGAGGGGCAUGCCUGUUCGAGCGUCAUUUCACCACUCAAGCCUGGCUUGGUGUUGGGCGACGUCCUCUUUGGGGACGCGCCUCGAAACGCUCGGCGGCGUGGCACCGGCUUUAAGCGUAGCAGAAUCUUUCGCUUUGGAAGUCGGGGCCCCGUCUGCCGGAAGACCUGCUCGCAAGGUUGACCUCGGAUCAGGCAGGGAUACCCGCUGAACUUAAGAAUAUCAAUAAGCGGAGGA